RNAcentral lists this ribosomal RNA (577 nucleotides) under uncultured bacterium. RNAcentral describes it as "bacterial SSU rRNA". It matches the Rfam family "Bacterial small subunit ribosomal RNA", at positions 58 to 679 of the family's 1533-position model. The record is from RNAcentral.
CAAGUCGAACGCUCACCUUCGGGUGGGAGUGGCAGACGGGUGAGUAACACGUGGGAACGUACCCUUUGGUUCGGGACAACUCUGGGAAACUGGAGCUAAUACCGGAUACGCCCUUUUGGGGAAAGGUUUACUGCCGAAGGAUCGGCCCGCGUCUGAUUAGCUAGUUGGUGGGGUAACGGCCUACCAAGGCGACGAUCAGUAGCUGGUCUGAGAGGAUGAUCAGCCACACUGGGACUGAGACACGGCCCAGACUCCUACGGGAGGCAGCAGUGGGGAAUAUUGGACAAUGGGCGCAAGCCUGAUCCAGCCAUGCCGCGUGAGUGAUGAAGGCCUUAGGGUUGUAAAGCUCUUUUAUCCGGGACGAUAAUGACGGUACCGGAGGAAUAAGCCCCGGCUAACUUCGUGCCAGCAGCCGCGGUAAUACGAAGGGGGCUAGCGUUGCUCGGAAUCACUGGGCGUAAAGGGCGCGUAGGCGGCGUUUUAAGUCGGGGGUGAAAGCCUGUGGCUCAACCACAGAAUGGCCUUCGAUACUGGGACGCUUGAGUCUGGUAGAGGUUGGUGGAACUGCGAGUGUAGA